AGUGAACGCUGGCGGCGUGCCUAAUACAUGCAAGUCGAGCGAACGCACAGGAAGCUUUCUCCUCUACCGUUGGCGACUGGCGGGUGGGUGACGCAUACAUAACCUACCUAUUAUACUUGGGUGACUUCGUAAGGCCAGAGCUGCUACCACCUCAUAUGUUCUACCGGAUGGAUCAAUAGUUCAUCACGCCUUUCCUGUCUCUUAUAGCUGAAUCCGGACCGCCUUAGCUAGUUGGUAAGGUAACGGCUUACCAAGGCAACGAUGCGUAGCCGACCUGAGAGGGGGAUCGGCCACACUGGAACUGAGACACGGUCCAGACUCCUACGGGAGGCAGCAGUAGGGAAUCUUCCGCAAUGGGCGAAAGCUUGACGGAGCAACGCCGCGUGAGUGAUGAAGGUCUUCGGAUCGUAAAACUCUGUUAUUAGGGAAGAACAAAUGUGUAAGUAAAUAUGCACGUCGUGACGGUACCUAAUCAGAAAGCCACGGCUAACUACGUG
Molecule: ribosomal RNA, 497 nt
Filed under: uncultured bacterium
Lineage: Bacteria
Description: partial 16S ribosomal RNA
Rfam family: Bacterial small subunit ribosomal RNA
Source: RNAcentral